This is a long non-coding RNA of Xenia sp. Carnegie-2017, 502 nucleotides long. RefSeq lists it as uncharacterized. Lineage: Eukaryota; Metazoa; Cnidaria; Anthozoa; Malacalcyonacea; Xeniidae. The record is from RefSeq and is a predicted model, not a curated record. The transcript is spliced from 2 exons.
AAAAUUAACUUGUAUGAGUAACUGCAUGAGAUAGUUAAAAGGAUCCUGAUGGUCUAUCUUUAUAAUUUGAAACUUAACCAUGAAAAACACCCAACUUAAAAAAGUGUCAAUAAAAGAUGUCACUUGCUGUGAGAAAAUAGCUGGCUUUCACUCGCUACUUUUUAGUAAUUUUAUUUAACGUUUAUUAAGAAAAUUGCAAUGAUGCAAGUAGGGUUCAUUGAAUUACUAAGAUAAAAAUUUUACAAUUAAUUUCAACGAUACAACGUAAAAACUACGCGGUGAAAAAAAAGGAAGAGACCGACCAAGUCGCCUGGAUCAAACUGACCAGGACAACCCUUGGAAAUCAGAGUAGCUAUGUCUGUAGGCCUUCUAACUGGACAAUGAAUGAACGACGAAGUCGGGCAGAAACACCAAGAAACAAGCGUCGUUAUUAUAAGAUGCACACUUGCUAAUUUAUUUAUCCAUAAUGUCUAUCAGUAUAACGCAUUUUCAAAUUCGACCG